UUAUUAUUCGUUGUCUUACCAACCUGUGAAACUUAUCCGAAAUUCAUAUUCCUUUUUUGCCAAUACAGUUAUGGACAAUAUGGACAGUUUUAAUUAUUCUUGAUUAUUCAGAUAGAUCAUUCCAAUAUGAUUCUUAGAGGGUCGAAGGACGGUUGCUUUGAAAGGAUAUUCAUUAUGUUCCUGAAAGUGCGGAGUCUUCGUAACAGCUUUUAAAAGGUGACAAAAUCCCCUUAGAGCACGGUUCGCAAGGGUAGGCUAAAUUACAAUUAAUUAAUUGACUUCGACUCCCUGUAAUUCAUGCGGUAAGUCAAACUUAAUUAAUUACCCUUUAGGGUCAAACAGAAGAGGGUUAGAGAAAAAAGAACUUUCCAUCUUCUGAUUUUAAGAGGUAUUUGUAAUGCUUUGGCUUAUGAACUGUUUGGUUCUUAAAAAUAUGCAUCAAUAAUUAGCCUCGUAUAUCAAUCAGAGCUAAGUGAAAUUUAUUUUAAGUACUAAUUUAAAAAUAAUUACGUAAAAUAAUUUCAAAUAAAUUAUACAUAAUAUAUAUAUACAUAUAUAUAAAACUUAUUUCAGUUGAUGAUUAUGUUUUUCAUUUGGUCAAUUAAAGGAAUUUGAGGCGAGGUGAAUAAUUGGGAAAAUAAUUUGAAGAAUUGAUUAUUUGAGGAACAUUCAGAAUAAGUAUUGAACAAUGAAUAAGGUAUAUUCUAAAAUUUAGAAUAUUGUUUAUUUAUCGAAAAAUAAAAAACUUCUUAAAAAAAGAAACAAUGAUAAUAAAAAUGAAAAUACUAUCGAUGAAAGCAACAGUUUUACCUCGUAUCCGACAUCAAUAAAGUAGGUUGAAAUGUCAGUGGUUGAAAAGGCUAUUAAUUACAGACACCCUUCUCUAUUGUAACGCCGAUAACUUUUCUAUUAUCCUUUUAAAAGGAGAUUUAAGGCCAAAUAGUCUUAACAACAGCACGUUUGCAGGUCGUAUAAUCCUUACUAUCAUUAUCGAAAUUUUUUUUUCUUUUUUAACACGACUUUUACAUCUGCUCCGAAACGAAUAAAAAUCUCGUUAUCCGGAAAAGACUAUCCUCAGCUGUUACGCUACACCCACAGAUGUUUCUAUUUGCAACACUUAUGAAAGUAUAAGCCAGAAAUUUGACAGAAUAUGAUUUUAUUUUUGGGAGUCAUAAAAUUUCAAAGGCAAGGACCACCACGUACACACAUGCUACGAUCCUUUGUUGUUAAUGGAAGCCUUGAUGAUCGCGGACAAUCGCCGAAGGUGUCUGUCUGCCUGACAAGCCGACACUCUCUACAUUGUAAUUAAUCAAUAUUACAUCGACAAUACUUGUAUGUGUGUUCGAGGCAAAAGCUAUUGUCGUAAUUUGCUGCCCUUCUCUUUUUUGUUUACGCCGCAAUCGGCCACAACCGCGAUUUUAAUUGUACCGCUUUAAAGCAACAUUUUAAAAGUUGGUUGCUCAAACGAGAUGUACUUAAUGAAUCUUCGCGAUGCUAAUUGCACCGACUUGCAAAUUGCUCCGACGAUUUCCGCCUCAUGCAUGUAUGAAUUAUAAAAAUUUCAUGAAUCAUGCAGUAAAUCAUUAAAAUAUUUUAUAUAAAUCAACGAGCAAUAAAAAAUAGUUGUAUAAGUAAACGUUUUUCUCUCGUGUUUUAAAAUGAUAUAAUGCAAAAAAAUCUAUUGGUUUUUAAUUGCUAUUUAAUUUUUCUAUCUAUUUCUAUUUAAAUAGAUUAUUAAUUAGAUAUUAUAGAUAAUAUAAAAAAAUGCUACAUAUAGAUAAUACCGACAGAAGUUUUGCAUAUUUUGAAUGUGAGUGAAAAUUAAUCGUGAGAGUUAAAAAAAAAAAAAAGAGAGAGAGUUAGAGCGAAAAUUUGGCGAGAAGCGGGAAAGGGUAAUUACUAAUGAUCGCGGAGGAUCGUUAUUAACCUUUCUGGUGGCGAGAGGCAUCAGGACGUAGCAGGACCAUUGUCCAUUCCGCUAGGUUCAUUACGGUGUUCCAGUAGGGAAUGAGGCGAUGGUCGGCUGGAUGAUGUAAAAAAGGGUAAAAGAGAAAUAAGAAAAGUGUCGGGGGUCAGAGGAGACCGAACGGCUACCGUGAAUGGCGCAGCCUGACCCAAGAGCUGCCGGGCAUCAAAAGGGCCUCAAAAGGACCGCUUCGAACCUCGGCCUGUCCGAAGCUCAUUUGUUUUCACCGGCGCAUGGAAAGAUCGAUCGACCGAUGUCUUAACCCUACACUCUCCACGGAAUCAUCCGCUUUCGAUAAGAAAAAUUCUGAGGCAUUAAUUAGAUCGGCCGGUAAUAGAGUCAUGAUGGAAAACUGAUUGCCUGCGUCGAAGUUACGACAAUUUACUUACCUAUCAACUAUCUUCUAUGCAUUUUCUUCCAUUUUCUCCUUGGUAGUAUUUAACAUAGUUUUAUUAAUUCAUUUUUCUCAAAGAUUCAUUGCAUUAUUUUUUUGUUUUGUAAGUUUAUAUUUAAUAUUUGUUUUUAUACAGUUUAUUUUAUAUGAAAUUAUCUAAUAUUUCUCUUUUAAUUUUUUUUUUUAUUUGUUCUUUUCUUAGAUCACGUUAAGCUAGAUUAACUAUCUCUUAGAUAACAUUUUCAAUAUGAUAUCCAUAAUCGUGCAAGUCUCUGAUAUUUGUUAUAAAAUGAUGAAAAAUACGAUGAAAUCCAGAAUUGUUAUACUGAUGACAAGAUCUCUGUAUGUAGAAUAGAAAAUUCCCAUGAGGUUUCUUGCGAUCGAUGGAUGAUCGUUAAUUCGAAUGGACGAAAUGAUCGGUAACAUUAGACUAGAUAAUUCGAUGAGCAAAACAAAAAGAAUAUAAAUUUAUAUUCUCCAUCGAAUCAUUGUAUCUUACGUUCUCACGGCAAAAACACGGUAGAUUAUCUUACGUGAUUGGAGUGGAUGAAAAUUCCACGUAGACGGACGUGCGGGGUGGAAGUGUUGGGAAUUUUAGAAAAAUCGGAUGAGGAAGAGGUUACACGAGGGGAUACUAGGAUUGCAUUUACAAGGGGGAUUUGUACGGUAGUCGAGAAACGAAGUGAAAUUAUCGAUGCGAUUGCCACUGGAACAGACUCUCGGUUGAAGGGCCGACAAAGGGUCGAUCAGUGAUUCUCUCCAUCUCCUUUCAUCUCGUUCCUUUUUCGAAAGAUAACCCCACGGUGGCCACCUUUUUGUUUGCACAGUGAGAUUGCUUGCCUCUUGCUCGGAAAUUGACCGAAGAUUACGGCCGACCGACGUUUGCUCUGCGGCCACGGCCUUAACUUUGCGCUACCACAAAAAUAUCAUUGGCUUCCUCCUUUUCCCUUCCAACUUCUUUGUCUUCUUCUUUCUAUAAUUUUUUUCCUUCAGGUAUUGAUUUCUUUCGUGUUUUAUACAUAUAUGAAAAACCAAUCGAUCUUUUACCUUUUUUCUCGCUCAAAAACUUGAAAUUUUAAAAUUCAAAUUAAUUUCCUCUAAAUAAAUGGUACGUAACAGCUUAUGAAAAAAUUAUUCUUAUGAUCUAUUGAUAUGUUGCAACGAAAAUUACAAUAUACAAAUGUAAUAAUAUUUUAUAUAUCCUACAUAUUAGUUGAAUAGAUAUUGUAUAUUGUAUAUAUUGCAAUCCAGUCAUUAUAUAUUAUAUUCUUCAAAUUUUUUCCCAAAACGUAUCGACAUCGAUAAAAUCGUUCUUUUUAUUCUUGAUUUACAAACAAAGUAAAGUAUCAUCUAUCGUUCGUCUGAGAAAUUAUACGACAAACAUUUUAACUGCGACGUAACCACAAAACUUCUCUUUCCCCGGUCGUACACUUCCCUUUCCUCCUUAUCCCGAAGAGAGAUGAUGUCUAAGCUUAUUAUCGAGACCCUCGAGACCUCUCUUUCUCUCCAUCUUGCAGGAUUUGAUCGAAGUUGAUGGAGCGAGCACGGAGCUAACCGCCCAGAGUAUUAUGUGUCGAAAAAUAUUCAAGAAAACCUCUUCGGCCAGUCCUUCGGAGGAGCAAUGACUUUUGUCCGCCACGAUACUGUCAGAAGUGAUUACCCGUAAUGGAUCAAGCUCUUUAAUGCUCUACCCACGUGCGCUAGAAGAAUUAUCCGUUCGAGAGGCAGCUAGAGCUUGUUUAAAGGGCGUUGUACGCCCGUUAUACGACGCGGUAACAAGCGCGAUUUCAGUUCACGGUGUACAAUUAAAAGUAACACGGCUCGAUGCGCGUUAACGCGAGCGAGUCGAAUCGUUUGAUCCUCCGUAGAAAAAUUGCGCGCUCUAUUCCGAGAGAAAGAGAAAGAUUUAUGACAUACGGUUCUAAAGAUCGUAAAUCAUUUGGUAUAUCGUAAACAGCCAAUAAGCCGAGAUCAAAGAGACAUUAAACUCUGGUCGAAGUUGGAGAAGUGGGGUUAGAACCGGUUAAUCGUUGAUAGAGGAGUGAUUAUUAAAUAGAAAAAAAAAAAACAAGAAAAGAAAAAGAAAAGAUUAUUCUUCUCCUAGAGAAGGCUAAUUAUGAGAGGCAUUAAUUAAGCGCUAACGACGAAGGAUUAUUAACGAACAAAUCGGUUCUCCUUACAUGGGGACAAGGUUUUGAUCGACGAGCCACGAGUUUAGCCGAGGGCAACUACGACGGCCAAUCGAUCUAUCGAUUGAGAUCGAUCGAAUUACCGGUAUGCACGAUUCCUCGUAUCGAUAUAUAUGUAUAUGUAAGGAUCGAUUGCAGAAUGAAAGAUUGUGAACUAAUACGGGUGACAGAAGGGAGUGUACAGACGCACGGGAAAGACGCGAUUGAAUUACCAUAAAACGCCAUGAUUAACGUAAAGUAAACGAAUAUAAUGCCGCAAUAACCGCAACCUGUUCUAUAGCAGUUAGAGUAUGUCCCCGCAAUGGUUUCCUGUAUCUCUACGUCCGACGCGAUGUCUCUCACUUCUCUUUUAUCACAUCGUUCUCUGUGAAAUUAUAAUUUCGCGUACGAAUAGAUUUAAAUUUAAUUGGUAGUGGAAUUUUAAGAUUAUCAUCUGUGAUGAGAAGCACGAUAAAACUUUAAAACUUCGCACGGUCAUUCAAUUAUUGGGUUCGUGUGUAAUAGGUUAGGUAAUACGAACAUUGUGAAUGCAGAAAUAAAUCAAUUUACAUAAUA
This is a long non-coding RNA of Apis cerana (Asiatic honeybee), 5104 nucleotides long. RefSeq lists it as uncharacterized. Lineage: Eukaryota; Metazoa; Arthropoda; Insecta; Hymenoptera; Apidae. The record is from RefSeq and is a predicted model, not a curated record.